Cannabis sativa is the source of this 625-nucleotide long non-coding RNA. RefSeq lists it as uncharacterized. Lineage: Eukaryota; Viridiplantae; Streptophyta; Magnoliopsida; Rosales; Cannabaceae. The transcript has 3 exons. The record is from RefSeq and is a predicted model, not a curated record.
AUUAAUUUAUUAAAAACUCAUUAAUUUUAAAAUCAUUGUUAUCACCAUGUGAGAAUUAUAUUUUUGCCCUUGUAUGCUUGAAAAUGGGAAUUUGGCCCUAAGGGUAAUGGGGUAAUUGUGCAUUUUGGUUUUUGAGUCAUUAAAAGAGAAAUAUUAAGCAAAUGGGAUUUUAAUUUCUGCAUUUUUCGAGCCCUAGCAGCUGAACCCCCUUCCCUCUCUCUCUCAAAACUCAUUUUUCUAGCUUUAAUUUUGUGGUGAUUUGCUUUUGGUAGUAAGCUUAGUUUUGGAGAUUUGGGACUUUGUUCUUGCUUGGAUUUGAGGAUUACUGAUACUUGGUCAGGAGCACCCGGAGAUUUGGAAUCUCCAUAUUUGCGGGACAUCAGGAAAGGGUAAAUCUGUCUCUGAUCAGCCAUGAGUGCGAGAGCUGGGCGAUGUAUGUACAUGUUCGGGCCACACUAGACCAAGCAGGUUGGGGUCUACCAGUGACAUACUUUUAAAACUUUGAUUUUGCCGCCUAGGUCGGCUAGUGAAAAGACUUGUAAUAUUUUGUAAAAUAGAUUUGGGAUCCCGAAACAUGUAACUUUUGAUUGUAAAGUAAAGUUGAUUACAAGUUUUAUUUUCAAUA